RNAcentral lists this long non-coding RNA (10114 nucleotides) under Gossypium barbadense (sea-island cotton). Its description in RNAcentral is "long non-coding RNA (GBAR_LNC013095)". Lineage: Eukaryota; Viridiplantae; Streptophyta; Magnoliopsida; Malvales; Malvaceae. The record is from RNAcentral.
GGGAUGCACCCUAAGUGGAAGAAAAUGGUGACGGAUUUUCAACUAGUGCAGUUCUGGUUAAGCUUUUUGAUCAUGGCCAUGCUUGUGUUCUACCACUUCACUGCUUCUGGCUGCUCUGGGAUUCUGAGUUGGUGUUUCAAUGCAGCCUUCAUCGUCUCUCUUCUCUACUUGUUCUCAGACUUUCAUGCCAAGAGUUACUCCACCAAUGCCAAGGUCUUCAAGGGUAACUAAUAAUUAAUUAAACUACCUUUUCUUUUCUUUUCUUUUCGUUUUCAUUUUUAUAUGUAGUUAUUGUUUCAGAGUGAUUCAUCAGUUGAAGAAAAAAAUGAACAUAAUUGUCAUAAAUUCCUUUUACGAUUUCAAUUCUUCGGUGUGCAUAUGUAUCUUAAUAUCAAUUAAUUGAAGAGAUUCAUUGUUAAUUUAUAUUUUAUGUUUUUACUAUAAAUGCAUGAUUAAACAGUUCCUGCUGUUGCAGAAGCGACGAUAAUAUUAAUAACAAUAUUAUCAGAAAUAUUUAGAUAAUUAUUAUGCCGACAAUUAUACUAAGAAAAUUCCCAGUUAAAUUGGAGGGGUCACAAAUGGUCCCGCUUAAAACCCAACAACUAGACAGAACUCACUUAGAUAUUUAUAGCAAUAAUAACUAAAUAAAUAUAACCAACAUAAAGCUAUUAAAUAUAAGCAAACAACUAAGAAAUAAAAUACCAGAGUUUUAACGAGGUUCGGCCAAUUUAACUUACGUCCUCGGACACUACCAAAUUAAUAUUUCCUCUAGAAAUAUUACAAUAGAGAAGAUUAACACCAAGUUACAAUUAGCUACUUGGAUUUUUGGAAUGAUAAAACCUAAGGGGGAAGGGUUCUAUAUAUAACAAACCAAACCCCCUCCCUUUCUAUCUUUUCCUAAUGUGGGAUAUUGCCAAUAUUCAACAAAUCUCCACCUUGGUGAUAUUCCACAUCUUCGAACAUCUUCUCAUAACACAAACUUCAAUAGUGUCUUCAAAUUUGCAACCAAUCGCCUUCUUCCCUUUUGGUAGUUGUGCCAGUUUCCACGUCUUGUUUUUCUCUAGAGAUUGCAUUUCCUCUUCCAUUGCACCUAACCAUCUAUUAUUCUCUAAAUUUUGAAUGGCUUCGGUGUAAGUGGAUGGAAUAUUAUCAACAACUGGAAGUGCAUAAGCUACCAUGUCAGUGAAACGAGCAGGUUUCUGAAUUUCUCGUCUCUGCCUUCUGACUGCAAUUGGCUCUGAUUGCUGUUGAGGUUCUUGGGUAGAAACCUCUUCCUCAUCUGACUCUGCAUCUGCCAAUGAAGAAUCACUAGUGGUACCUUCUGCUGGAAUUACCACUCUCUGCUCAAACUCCACCUGCUGCGGAGUACACUUCACCUGCUGCGAAGUACUACUCGAAGUACUACUCACUCCUUCUGGAUUUACCUUAUUCAACAUGGCAGAUUCAUCAAAGGUAACAUCCCUACUGAUUAUCGUCUUCUUUGCCUCUAGACACCACAAACGAUACCCCUUAACACCAGCAUUGAAGCCCAUGAAUAGAGCCUUCUUUGCUCUUGGAUCUAACUUUGAUUCUUUCACAUGAUAAUAUGCAAUAGAACCAAAAAUACGCAAGGUGUCAUAAUCAGUAGCAGGUUUUCCAUACCAUUUCUCCAAAGGAGUCUUGCCAUUUAUAGCAGAUGAUGGCAAAUGAUUGAUGAGAUGUUGAGCGUACGUCACAGCCUCAGCCCAAAACUUUCUAUCUAAUCCAGCAUUAGAUAACAUACAUCGAACUUUCUCCACAAGCGUUCGAUUCAUACGCUCUGCCACCCCAUUCUGUUGCGGUGUUCCACCUACGGUGAAGUGCCUUACUAUGCCACAAUCUUGGCAUAUCUUCAGGAAUGGAUCGCUUUUAUAUUCUCCACCAUUGUCUGAUCGGAGAACCUUAAUCUUCCUUCCUGUCUGAUUUUCAAUUUUAGUUUUCCACUUAAGGAAAACUUCAAGCACCUCAUCUUUGUUCUUCAUAGGAAACACCCAAACUCGUCUGGAAAAAUCAUCAAUAAAGGUGACAAAAUAACGUCUUCCUCCAAGUGAUGGAGUCUUGGACGGUCCCCAUACAUCAAAAUGCACAUAAUCCAGAAUACCUUUAGUAUUGUGAAUCCCAGUGCCAAAUUUCACCCUUCGUUGUUUUCCCAGAACACAAUGCUCGCAAAAUUCAAGUUUGCAAGUCUUUGUACCUUUCAAUAAUCCUUGCUUGGCUAGAGUUUGCAAGGAUUUUUCACCAGCAUGGCCCAAACGCAUAUGCCACAGCUGUGUUGCCUCAGCGUCCUUCUUGGUACUCGAAAUUGCUGCUGCUGUUGCCCCGACCACUGUACUACCUUGGUAGUAAUACAGAUUGUUCUUUCUUAUGCCUUUCAACAUCACCAAUGCUCCUGAAGUUGCUUUAAGAACUCCAUCUCGUAUUGUCACAACUAGGCCUUUAGAUUCUAACGACCCCAAAGAGAUGAGAUUCUUCUUCAACUUUGGGACAUAUCGUACAUCCCGCAAAAUUCUAGUAGAUCCAUCAUGACUCCUCAGUUUAAUUGAACCUAUCCCGGCUAUUUUACAUGUGUUAUCAUUACCCAUGUAAACAACCCCUCCAUCUAGUUUUUGAAAUUCAAAGAACCAUUCCCAAAUGGGACACAUAUGAUAGGAACAACCAGAAUCCAUGAUCCACUCAUCUGCAUGUGAUGUUGAAGAUGUCAUACUAAGAGAAAAGUCUGACUCUGCUUCACUAUUGCAUUCUGCAACAUUUGCAUCUUGCGGAGUCUUCCAUUUUUUCUUCAAUUUUGGACAAUCUUUCUUCCAAUGUCCUUUUUCUUUGCAAAAGGAACAUUCAUCUUUGGCAACAGCUCGACCUUUGGACUUUCUUCUCUUCCUCUUAGACUGACUUUCCUGACGAUCUCUUGUUAACAAUGCUUCCACUGCUGCUUCACUUGAACCUUUCAACUUAUCCUUUCGGCGUAGUUCAUAGCUAUACAAUGCAGCAGUUACUUCAUUGAAAGUUACUUCCGACUUUCUAUGAAGUAAAGUAGUUUCAAGGUACUCAAACUCCUUUGGAAGCGAUCCCAACAACAUAAACGCCAAGUCUUCGUCUUCAAAAGUCACAUCCAAAUUCAACAAAUCAACCACCAGCUGAUUAAAAUUGGUAAUGUGCUCAUUCAUCGUGGUACCAGGAACAUAACUGAAACGAAACAGUCUUUUCUUCAUAUGCAACUUAUUUUGACUGUUCUUCUUCAGGAAUUUCUCCUCCAAUGCUUUCUACAAUUUACUUGCAGAAGUCUCUUUACUGAAUAUAUACUUCUGCUCUCUGGAAAGACAUGAUCGAAUUGUACCACAUGCCAAUCGGUUGAUGGUCUUCCAUUCUUUAUCAUCAACCCCUUCUGGUUUUUCUUCCUCAAUGGCAAUAUCUAGACCUUGUUGAAAGAAGGCAUCUAGAAGCUCACUUUGCCACAUGCCGAAAUGACCUAUUCCAUCAAAAAUUUCCACUGCAAAUCUCGUAUUUGCAAUUCCAACCCUCGACAAAAUGUACGAAGUGGAAGUUGUUGAUAUGGAUGGUUUUUCUUCUGUCAUUUUUGCCAUAGCUUCUAUUUAAUAGCCACCAAAUGCGGAAUACCCACAAGCUUUAGGAAAUGUUUCUGAUGUGUAAGAUCAGACUAAGCUGCAAACACAGAGCAUACUACAAAACCUUGGCUCGGAUACCAAUUGUUGCAGAAGCGACGAUAAUAUUAAUAACAAUAUUAUCAAAAAUAUUUAGAUAAUUAUUAUGCCGACAAUUAUACUAAGAAAAUUCCCAGUUAAAUUGGAGGGGUCACAAAUGGUCCCGCUUAAAACCCAACAACUAGACAGAACUCACUUAGAUAUUUAUAGCAAUAAUAACUAAAUAAAUAUAACCAACAUAAAGCUAUUAAAUAUAAGCAAACAACUAAGAAAUAAAAUACCAGAGUUUUAACGAGGUUCGGCCAAUUUAGCUUACGUCCUCGGACACUACCAAAUUAAUAUUUCAUCUAGAAAUAUUACAAUAGAGAAGAUCAACACCAAGUUACAAUUAGCUACUUGGAUUUUUGGGAUGAUAAAACCUAAGGGGGAAGGGUUCUAUAUAUAACAAACCAAACCCCCUCCCUUUCUAUCUUUUCCUAAUGUAGGAUAUUGCCAAUAUUCAACACCUGCUGCAUGCAAUUGUAUUAUAUUAUCGUUUCUAAUGACGAAGAAAAUGGAACAACCGUGAAGUGAAAAAAAAAAAGUUGAUGAGAAAAAUAAAUCAAGGCGGACAUAGAAAUUGUUGUCGCAGUCAACAUUAAAUAUGGUAAGCAGGUGAGUUAAUAAGUUUGACAGGUCCUCACCAAAAAUUAACUUCUCCCUUUUAUCGUCAUAUGUAUUAUUUAAGAUAUUGCAUGCUUUUGUCGUUUUCAUUACACCAAUAUUUUAUGUCUAGUAAGUUUUGGAACAACACCUCAUGAUUCAUCCAUUAAAUUCCAAUUUAGCGUUAUAUAAGUUUUUUUUUCUUAGAGAAUAUUAAGAAAAUCCAGUGUCAUAUAUACACAACAUGAAAUAAAUUUGGUAAUAAAAAAAAUUUGAGAGUAGGGCACCAAAUUAUAGUCCAGUAUUUCAAAUUAAUUUGGUUAUAAGGUCAACAAUCAAUUAUGCAAAUGAUGUAAACCUAAGACACUACUUUAUCACAUGUAUUGUUUCUACUGAUUAGUUUUAAUCAAUUGAAGUUAAUUGGAAAUAAAAUAAAGUAAUUGAUUAUGAAAUUGAUAGAGAUAACAGGUCAACCAAAUGAAUUAUUUUUCCUAUAUUAAAUUAUAAAACAUUCAAAAUGUAGUUAUGACACACGAAUAAGAUUUAUAUAAAAUAUAUAUAUUUAUUAAAAUUUUAUAUGAAAAUCAAAUCAAAUGAAAUUGAAGUUUUUAAAAUUAUAAUGUUUAUGGUGAAUUCAAGUAACAUCUAAAACAAUCAUUAAAAAAAUUGGAGAUUAAUAAGUUAGAAUUGUUUGGAGAGAUCUUACUCAAAAUAAAAAUUACUUUGACGAAAAUCAUAUUAUUAUAUUUUUUAAUAUGAAAGCUUCAAUCUUAUCAGAUUUAUAAUUUUACUUUAUAUUAUUUUUAAUUCAUAUUGUAAUUAUAAUUUAUAAUGAUAAUUAUUUAUUAUUUAUUAUUAUUUUAAAAUUUCAUAACCUUCGUUACUUACGGUUUGUUUAAGGUUACACACAAAAUUAAUGAAAAAUUAUAACCUCUGCUGCUUGAGGUUUGCUUAAGGUUGUUCACAAAAUUAAUGAAAAAAUUAUAACCUUCAUCACUUAUGACUUGUGUUAUAAAAGGUAAAAAAAUCAAGACAAAUCAAUUCAUCGUGUUUUUCUUCAUCAAAUCUGAUAGACGACUUCAAUUAAACAUUAGAUAAAUCUCUAUUGAUUUUAGUUUGCAUAAUACGAAAAACUUCAAUUUUUAAAUUUGAUCCAAUUUGAAUUUAAAUUUUAUUUAAUAAAAUAUUUAUAUGAUUUUAAAUUAGAAAAUAUAUUUAAAAAGUAAAAAAAUACAGAUUUAAUAUUAAAAUUAAAAAUUAAUGUUUUAACUUAAUUAAAUUUAAAUAUUAAUAUUUAAUUUGGUAAUUUUAAUAUAUUAAAAUCCCAAAUAAUUCUAUCUAUUAAUGUACAAUUACAAAUUAAAUCAACUUUAUGCUCAAAAUAAUUUUUUUAAUAUAUAUAUGAAUUAUAAAAAUAGAAUUGUUCUAAGUUUUAUUCCAAAAUCAAAGUGUUAAAAUGGGAUGCAUUUCUUAUAUUAAUAUUUUAUUUUCAUAUUAAAAUAAUAAAAUGUAAAUUAAAAUGAGUUGAAAUUUAAUAAAUAUUAAAUUACACUUUCUAAUUAACUCCAAUUGCAUAUUGAUUGUCAUUAGGAUUAUCUAAUCACAUUAUUUUUAUAAUACAAAUAUGAGAAAAUAUUUAGUACAUCAGUGAAAUUUUUAACUUUCACAAGUAAAGUUAGAGAGUUUAACAAGUUAUAGGGAUAGAGUAAAAUAUUAAAAAAAAAGAGAGUCAUAUAACAAAAUUUUAAAGUUGUUUGUGAAAUAAAUAAAAAAAUACACUACCACUAUAACAAAUACUAACCUUGCAAAUAUAUUUACAAUAUAAAAUGUUUUAAAACAUUAAGAGUAAAUUAAAAUAAUAAUAAUAAUGUGCAACGCGUGUGGGGCUAAAAACUAAUAUAUAUAAAAUACAAAGUAAAAAAAUGGACUAAACUAGGUUUAAGUUUUGAGUAUUAGAGUUCAAGCUUGAUUCAUAUUUUAAAUGAGUCUAAUAUUUUUAUCUAAAACUAUUUUUAAACUUCAUAAUUUUAUUCAAAUCUAUUUAUUAUAUAAAAUCAAAUUCUUUUGGGAGUCAUUAGGAAUUAAUAAGGAUAAUUUUGGUAGUAAAAGUUAAAGACAAUUAUAUAUUUUGGAAAAAAUAAUUAUUUUAAAAUUUAAUAAAACUAACUCCCUUUUAGUAAUUAGGAAUUAAUAAGCACAAUUUAGACAUUAAAAGUUUAGAUAAUUGAAAUUUUUUAAUUACUUAUUUUAAAAUUUUUUAUUCCAUUUUAAUUAUUUGUAUUUAAAUUGUUCUUUUAAGUCCAAAUGAAAUUAUUUAUGCUUAAUUCAUUAAUCUUUUACCAAAAUUUUUUUUUAAAAAUUUUUAAUAAUUUAAUAAUUUAAUUUUAAUAUAAAAAAUCUAUAUUCCAAGAAUUUACAUACCAAAAUGUAUAUAAAAAAUUUAGAUAGUAAGUUGAUGUUUUUAAAGGAAAAGGUGAGUAAAAAAUAAAAUAUUUUUAAGAUUAUUCAAAAGAUAAUAUCUGCAGUAGUAUCAGUAUCAGUAUCAGUAUCUAUAUGUAUUAAUAUCAUAUUUACUUUUGUUUUCUUCUAAAUUUAAAUUGGUUAGUUUCUUUAGUUUUACUUAAUAUAUUAUUAUUAAAAAAUUUAAUAAAUUUUCAAUUGAACUUUAAUUUCAGCUACACAUUUUGUAUAUGGUAAUAUUUGUUAUUAAGAAUAUUUGAUAUAUUAAUUAGCUUUUCAGUUACAAGUUUUUUUUGUAUAAAUAUUGUUCCAUCUUAUUAUUUUAUCCUAAUUUUCGUUUGAUCGUAAUUUUAUCUUAAUUUUUAAUUUUUUUUUCUCUACUAAGAGGUUAGUUUUUUAAAUGGAUACACGUGUUUACAUGCUAUUUUUAAAUAAAUUAUUAGUUUUUUUUAUCUAUUUCUUUGUUUUUCAAUGUCAAGCUCGAGUCUAAAACUUUUUUAUUUUUAAAUUGAGAGUAUAAUUUUUUUUCUAGUCUUCGUCGUAUUCUAACAUAAAAAAUUAAAAAUCCAUUAAUAACACUAUUUACUAAUAUUAUACAAAUAUAUAUCCAAAAUAGAUUACAAGAUUUCCUUUUAUGUCCAUUUUUAAUAUUUUUUUAUAAUAAUUCCAUGCAAGGGAAAAAUCAGGAUUUUAUUGUUUGAAGUUUAGAUAAAGCAUUUCUCUUUUCAAUUUUCUUACUCUUUUUUGUUGCACGUGAAAAAGUUAUUGGUGCUACCGCCCAGCUUUGGAUAUCAUUCUAUAUUUAAAUUGGGUAUAUUUCAUUUAUAUGAUUUGACAUGUUGAUGGCAUAUUUUAUAAAAUCAUAACAAUUUUCCAUAUAAGGUAAAAUUGUAUUUUAGAUAUCUAUUAUUGAUAGUAGUAAUUAAUUUUUUUGCUGGUAUUUUUUAAAGAGAUAAACGAUUAAUCAUGAAAUAUGCUCUAUUCUUAAUAAAGAGGCAAUGGAAGAAGAUUGUAUUUGAGUUGUUCGAUUAAAAAUUUUCAAAAUUGACUUGGAAAGAAGAAGUCAAAUAGAUUUAAAAAUAAUAAUAAAGAAAAAAAAUACAGAAACAACUAAAAGAAAAAAAUUAAGAACAAAGAAUAAAGAUUUAAAACAAUAAAUAAAUAAAACGAAAAUUAAAAAGUGGUUUAAAAAAUCGAUUGAUAUAAUAGCUAGAUGAAUAAGUGUCCAAUUGAACCAUUUGAGACAAAAAUCACAACAAAUUCAAUUAAUAACUCUAAUGGAACUCUAAUUAAUCUAAAUAAAAAAAAAUUAUAUGAUAAAGCAAGUUCUGAUGAAAAAUUCCUAUUACAUAGUGAGAUGACAAGUAAUGGAUUUUGAUAACAAUUUUUAUUAAAGUGGGAAGUGAUAAUGUAGUGAAUUAAUUUGGUAAAAGUUUUGUUCUUGUCAAGCCAUGAAAAGAUAAAAGUAAUAAAUUAUGGUAAUAAUGAAUCAUAUAAAUAUGGAAUUAUCUGUUAAUUAUUAAAAUAUGCUUUAUUAAGAUAUGUUCAAGAAUUAUAAUAGUAGUAAUUUUUUAUAUAUAGAGUUUAAGGUAAAAAAAAAGAGAUUAUUCCUGGGUACUUACUAAGCUUUUACAAGUGUAACGUGUGUUUUAAACACGUAGAUGGAAGAUCGAAUUAAAGCUCUAGAUUCAGGUUGAGAUUUCAACUCAUCUCAUCUCAUAACCAAGGUUUGAAGAGAGUACAAAUUUGAUAUUUUGGUUAUAGAAUAUGACAUGUACACAAGUUAUUGCCAGUGUUUUGAUAUUUUGAGUUUUAUAAUGAUUAGUUGACGUGAAAUAGUCGAAGUUGCUUCGGCAAUUAAUGUAACAUCUCAGUACUUUGACCCGAUGUUUGGGUCGGAUAUGAGGGUGUUACAUUGUUGGUAACUAUUUUGUAACUUUUCAUAAUUAGGUGACAAAAAAUUUCACUAAUAGUUAGAUAUUAAUUUUAUAAUUUUUCAUACUUGGGUGAACAAAAAGAAUUUACUAAUAGUUGAAGAAUUUACUAAUAGUUCAGUGAGUAAUAGUUUGAUUUACCCAAAAAUCUAUGUACUUACAAGUUACAAGAGGGGUAGGCUAAUUACCCCCUAUCCAUAAAUGAAUUCAUUACUGGCGGACCAUUAUCCAUAAAUGAAUAAACAUAAACAGGAAUGCAGUGGAAGUGGAUGGAUCAAUGAUAUCCAGUACCGGUAGGCAGUUGAGGUAGAGAAAAUAUUGGGUCAUACUUUUCAGUGCUUUUAAAGGCAAUCCCCCUCCCCUCCUCCUUUUUGCUGCAGCUUUAUUAACUGACGUAGUGCUAGAGUAGUAAAGGCAGCAGCAAGAUGGAAGUCCCCUUUUUCCCAACCCUUUUCUCCUGUAUCAAAGGCUUGGUGGUGCAACAAGCCUUGUUCUCAACCUUGGAGGAUUGGCUAGUGAAGCAUCCCAAAAUCCUCCAGUUUUCAUGGGAAAAUGGCCAAACACCAGCCUCCUCUCACCGCUUCCUCACCCUCACUGUCUUGUCUUACAUCUCUUUCACCUUCGUUCUCUCCCAACUAUCUCGCCCUUCACUUUCACGUCCACUCCUCAAAUCAAUCGCAGCCGUCCACAACAUCUUCCUCCUUACCCUUUCUUUCAUCAUGGCCCUGGGUUGCCUCGUUUCCAUCUUCUCCCAGGUGCCUAACUUCAACACCCUCGUUUGCUUCCCUAGGGGUACAUCCCCAUCGGGCCCUCUCUUUUUCUGGGCAUACAUCUUCUACCUCUCCAAGAUUGUUGAAUUCAUGGACACCCUUUUGAUCAUCCUCAGCGGAUCCAUGAAGAGGCUAUCCUUCCUUCACGUCUACCAUCACUCCAUGGUGGUCAUCAUGUGUUAUAUUUGCUUAGACAGUGCUCAGUCCUCCGUACCCAUGGUGCUGAUCACCAACUGCGUGGUGCAUGUCGUAAUGUACUCCUAUUACCUGUUGUGCACCCUGGGGAUGCACCCCAAGUGGAAGAAAAUGGUGACGGAUUUUCAACUGGUGCAGUUCCGGUUAAGCUUUUUGAUCAUGGCCAUGCUUGUGUUCUACCACUUCACUGCUUCUGGCUGCUCUGGGAUUCUGAGUUGGUGUUUCAAUGGAGCCUUCAACGUCUCUCUUCUCUACUUGUUCUCAGACUUUCAUGCCAAGAGUUACUCCACCAAUGCCAAGGUCUUCAAGGGUAACUAAUAAUUAAUUAAACCAACUUUUUUUUGUUUUUCCAUUUCGUUUCCAUUGUUACAUGUAGUAAUUGUUUCAGAGUGAUUCCGUUCAAGCUCAUGAAUCUGGUAUAGAAUCUUAAUUGUGAAAG